GGGUCGAUGCCCGAGUGGUUAAUGGGGACGGAUUGUAAAUCCGUUGGUUCCGACCUACGCUGGUUCAAAUCCAGCUCGGCCCA
RNAcentral lists this transfer RNA (83 nucleotides) under Trebouxia aggregata. RNAcentral describes it as "tRNA-Tyr". It matches the Rfam family "tRNA". From Rfam's summary of the family: Transfer RNA (tRNA) molecules are approximately 80 nucleotides in length. RNAcentral also lists the same sequence under 2 other names. The record is from RNAcentral. Lineage: Eukaryota; Viridiplantae; Chlorophyta; Trebouxiophyceae; Trebouxiales; Trebouxiaceae.